GAUGAACGCUGGCGGCGUGCUUAACACAUGCAAGUCGAGCGAUGAAGUUUCCUUCGGGAAAUGGAUUAGCGGCGGACGGGUGAGUAACACGUGGGCAACCUGCCUCAUAGAGUGGAAUAGCCUUCCGAAAGGAAGAUUAAUACCGCAUAACGUUGAAAGAUGGCAUCAUCAUUUAACCAAAGGAGCAAUCCGCUAUGAGAUGGACCCGCGGCGCAUUAGCUAGUUGGUGGGGUAACGGCCUACCAAGGCGACGAUGCGUAGCYGACCUGAGAGGGUGAUCGGCCACAUUGGGACUGAGACACGGCCCAGACUCCUACGGGAGGCAGCAGUGGGGAAUAUUGCACAAKGGGGGAAACCMUGAUGCAGCAACGCCGCGUGAGUGAUGAAGGUUUUCGGAUCGUAAAGCUCUGUCUUUGGGGAAGAUAAUGACGUACCCG
RNAcentral lists this ribosomal RNA (437 nucleotides) under uncultured bacterium. RNAcentral's name for it is "bacterial SSU rRNA". It matches the Rfam family "Bacterial small subunit ribosomal RNA", at positions 28 to 462 of the family's 1533-position model. The record is from RNAcentral.